This 38-nucleotide microRNA is filed under the name Vombatus ursinus (common wombat). RNAcentral describes it as "miRNA (ENSVURG00010024193.1)". The record is from RNAcentral. Lineage: Eukaryota; Metazoa; Chordata; Mammalia; Diprotodontia; Vombatidae.
AAAGGUCACAAUCAACAUUCAUUGCUGUCGGUGGGUUG